GUUCAUUUUACAGCUUUCCUUUCUCUCUCUAAAAACCCUUUCUCCCUAAAAGUUCUCUGACUUCUCUCUAAAAUAUCCCUUCGCUGAACCGUUAGAUUUUUGUUUAGGGGCUGCCUAAGCAACCGCAACGUCAAGAGCUUCCUUUUGAUCUGAUCAUAUUUUCGUUUGGACCGGUACUGUUGAACCUGCCUCUAUGCGGAGGUACUGUUAGGACUUCUUAAAUUAGCUGUGCUUGGAAUCCAGAUGUUGAGGAGGUCCCCCUCGAGCAAGAGCUUGAGGAUGCUGAUGCUGCAACCUAGUCUUCCUAGGAGUUCCUUAGUCAUUUUAUGUUCUUUUGAAAUACUCUUUAUGAUUAAGUUCAAGUUUAGUACGCUAUUGCACUUAAAGUUUUAAAUUCUUAGACCAUUCCGGAUGACUGUAAUCCUAAACACCUUAAACUACUGUCUUAACUGCUUUCUAUUAUUAUGAUUGAUGACACCUAUAUAUAUACUGCUAUAUAUUUGAGAUGUCACAA
Long non-coding RNA from Vigna angularis (adzuki bean), 514 nucleotides. RefSeq lists it as uncharacterized. NCBI's taxonomy places the organism in Eukaryota, Viridiplantae, Streptophyta, Magnoliopsida, Fabales, Fabaceae. The record is from RefSeq and is a predicted model, not a curated record. The transcript is spliced from 3 exons.